Molecule: ribosomal RNA, 307 nt
Filed under: uncultured bacterium
Lineage: Bacteria
Description: partial 16S ribosomal RNA
Rfam family: Bacterial small subunit ribosomal RNA
Source: RNAcentral
AGACAGCAGUCGCCGCGGUAAUACAGAGGGUGCGAGCGUUAAUCGGAUUUACUGGGCGUAAAGUGUGCGUAGGCGGCUUCUUAAGUCGGAUGUGAAAUCCCUGAGCUUAACUUAGGAAUUGCAUUCGAUACUGGGAAGCUAGAGUAUGGGAGAGGAUGGUAGAAUUCCAGGUGUAGCGGUGAAAUGCGUAGAGAUCUGGAGGAAUACCGAUGGCGAAGGCAGCCAUCUGGCCUAAUACUGACGCUGAGGUACGAAAGCAUGGGGAGCAAACAGGAUUAGAUACCCCAGUAGUCCCUGUCUCUUAUAC